AGAGUUUGAUCAUGGCUCAGGGUUAACGCUGGCGGCGCGCAUAACACAUGCAAGUCGAGCGAGGGCUUAUUUCUCGCAAGAGAGAUAAGUUCCUAGCGGCGAACGGGUGAGUAACACGUGGGCAACCUUUCCUAUCGCGGGGGAUAACACCGGGAAACCGAUGCUAAUACCGCAUGUCGUCACCGGUCGCAUGGCUGGUGAAGAAAGCAGCAAUGCACGAUGGGGUGGGCCCGCGGCCUAUCGGCUAGUCGGUGGGGUAACGGCCUACCGAGGCGAUGACGGGUAGCUGGUCUGAGAGGACGGCCAGCCACACGGGGACUGAGACACGGCCCCGACUCCUACGGGAGGCAGCAGUGAGGAAUCUUCCGCAAUGGGCGAAAGCCUGACGGAGCGACGCCGCGUGUGGGAUGAAGUCUUUCGGGAUGUAAACCACUGUCGGAGGGGAAGACAUCGACGGUACCCUCCAAGAAAGCCCCGGCUAACUACGUGCCAGCAGCCGCGGUAAUACGUAGGGGGCAAGCGUUAUCCAGAUUUACUGGGCGUAAAGCGCGUGUAGGCGGCUGGUUAGGUGUGAUGUGAAAUCUUCCGGCUCAACCGGAAAACUGCAUUGCAAACCGGCCUGGCUAGAGUGCAGGAGAGGGAAGCGGAAUUCCAGGUGUAGCGGUGAAAUGCGUAGAUAUCUGGAGGAACACCAGUGGCGAAGGCGGCUUCCUGGCCUGCAACUGACGCUGAGACGCGAAAGCGUGGGGAGCGAACCGGAUUAGAUACCCGGGUAGUCCACGCCCUAAACGUUGUGAACUAGGUGUUGGUCGGAUUGACCCGAUCAGUGCCGCAGCUAACGCAUUAAGUUCACCGCCUGGGGACUACGGCCGCAAGGUUAAAACUCAAAGGAAUAGGCGGGGGCCCGCACAAGCAGCGGAGCGUGUGGGUUUAAUUCGAGGCGACGCGAAGAACCUUACCUGGGUUUGACAUGCAGAGGAAACUUUCGUGAAAGCGAGA
RNAcentral lists this ribosomal RNA (999 nucleotides) under uncultured bacterium. Its description in RNAcentral is "bacterial SSU rRNA". It matches the Rfam family "Bacterial small subunit ribosomal RNA", at positions 8 to 1012 of the family's 1533-position model. The record is from RNAcentral.